RNAcentral lists this ribosomal RNA (185 nucleotides) under Neospora caninum. Its description in RNAcentral is "partial small subunit ribosomal RNA". It matches the Rfam family "Eukaryotic small subunit ribosomal RNA", at positions 168 to 350 of the family's 1831-position model. Lineage: Eukaryota; Apicomplexa; Conoidasida; Eucoccidiorida; Sarcocystidae. The record is from RNAcentral.
UACAUGCGCACAUGCCUCUUCCUCUGGAAGGGCAGUGUUUAUUANAUACAGAACCAACCCACCUUCCGGUGGUCCUCGGGUGAUUCAUAGUAACCGAACGGAUCGCGUUUGACUUCGGUCUGCGACGGAUCAUUCAAGUUUCUGACCUAUCAGCUUUCGACGGUACUGUAUUGGACUACCGUGGC